This 501-nucleotide ribosomal RNA is filed under the name uncultured bacterium. Its description in RNAcentral is "partial 16S ribosomal RNA". It matches the Rfam family "Bacterial small subunit ribosomal RNA", at positions 30 to 523 of the family's 1533-position model. The record is from RNAcentral.
AUUGAACGCUGGCGGCAUGCCUUACACAUGCAAGUCGAACGGCAGCACGGGUGCUUGCACCUGGUGGCGAGUGGCGAACGGGUGAGUAAUACAUCGGAACGUACCUUAUCGUGGGGGAUAACGCAGCGAAAGCUGUGCUAAUACCGCAUACGCCCUGAGGGGGAAAGCGGGGGAUCGAAAGACCUCGCGCGAUUAGAGCGGCCGAUGCCUGAUUAGCUUGUUGGUGGGGUAAAAGCCCACCAAGGCGACGAUCAGUAGCUGGUCUGAGAGGACGAUCAGCCACACUGGGAUUUAGACACGGCCCAGACUCCUACGGGAGGCAGCAGUGGGGAAUGUUGGACAAUGGGGGCAACCCUGAUCCAGCAAUGCCGCGUGAGUGAAGAAGGCCUUCGGGUUGUAAAGCUCUUUUGUCAGGGAAGAAACACCGGCUCUAACACAGUCCGGGAAUGACGGUACCUGAAGAAUAAGCACCGGCUAACUACGUGCCAGCAGCCGCCGUAA